This 447-nucleotide ribosomal RNA is filed under the name uncultured Cellulomonas sp. Its description in RNAcentral is "bacterial SSU rRNA". It matches the Rfam family "Bacterial small subunit ribosomal RNA", at positions 933 to 1382 of the family's 1533-position model. Lineage: Bacteria; Bacillati; Actinomycetota; Actinomycetes; Micrococcales; Cellulomonadaceae. The record is from RNAcentral.
CGGAGCAUGCGGAUUAAUUCGAUGCAACGCGAAGAACCUUACCAAGGCUUGACAUGCACCGGAAACCAUCAGAGAUGGUGGCUCCGUAAGGCUGGUGCACAGGUGGUGCAUGGUUGUCGUCAGCUCGUGUCGUGAGAUGUUGGGUUAAGUCCCGCAACGAGCGCAACCCUCGUCCUAUGUUGCCAGCGGGUCAUGCCGGGGACUCAUGGGAGACUGCCGGGGUCAACUCGGAGGAAGGUGGGAUGACGUCAAAUCAUCAUGCCCCUUAUGUCUUGGGCUUCACGCAUGCUACAAUGGCCGGUACAAAGGGCUGCGAUACCGCGAGGUGGAGCGAAUCCCAGAAAGCCGGUCUCAGUUCGGAUUGGGGUCUGCAACUCGACCCCAUGAAGUCGGAGUCGCUAGUAAUCGCAGAUCAGCAACGCUGCGGUGAAUACGUUCCCGGGCCUU